Long non-coding RNA from Bombus huntii, 3163 nucleotides. RefSeq lists it as uncharacterized. The record is from RefSeq and is a predicted model, not a curated record. NCBI's taxonomy places the organism in Eukaryota, Metazoa, Arthropoda, Insecta, Hymenoptera, Apidae. The transcript has 2 exons.
GAAUCAGCUGUUACCGCCAACGUUAACACUCUCUUUCCGUUUGUGAAAUGAUGCUCUUACUUUCCUUUUUAUCGUUUCCAUUGUCAUAAAUACAUAAUAAGUGUGUUACGUUGUUUGUGUGUAAAUCGAAUCGUUGGAUUAAGAUGGAUGUCAUCUUGAAGAAUCUUUACUUGUCUUUUGCUAACGCUGCUGGGAUGAUAAUAUUGGAAAACAUAGAACCAGUGGACUCGUGAUUUGAAAUGGAGGACUAAGAAAAUGUAUAUCGUCAAUGGAACUUCAGAGGUGCGGUUUAGAGAAUCGUAGGACUCAAAUAAAUUACCAACUACGGUUGAAACAACGUUUUUACAGGAAUGAGAAUAAUCGAACAAAGAGCAGAGAGAAUACUGAUCGCGCGAAAAGGGAUAAUGUUGAGAAUAUAAAAUUAUAUAGGAUCGUAAUACUGUUGAAUUGGUUAGUUUAAUCUAUCUGUACCCUUACUUUUUCGAUAAUGCGCAAGACAAAAUUAUUCUAAGGGGUUUAGAGCAUACGUUACUCGCCCGAGUACCUUACAAAAAACUUUAGUACCUGUUCUGGUGGUUUCUUUCUGUUUUUGCGCAUUUAUCUCCGGUUUACCGAUACACGUCUGAGGAUAUUAUGAAAUAGACACACACAAAUUACUACAAAAUCACACGUUACAUCCACACUUAAUUAGAAUGAAAGAGAGCGAGAGAGAAACGACGAAAACAUCGGGUCGGAAUUUUCUUUUGCAUUCGAAGAAAAUGAGAACUUGAUAAAACCUCCGUAUUCACAGACUGCACUUGUUCGCAAAUAAAAAACUAAUAAGAAAGAGAGAAACUCUGUGUUGAACAAAAUAAAAAUGUACUUUUUGGCAUUGUAUAUAACCGUAAUAUGAUGUUUUACACGUAUACUUUGAAUAUUUUAUUUUAUUUUUUCUUCUUUUUUUUUUUUUUGCUUUUUAAUCUCAGAAGAACAAAAAUGUGCUAAAAAAUUUCGUGCUUUUUCUUAACUUAACGGAUCGUUACGACUGACUCUUAUUAUGCAACUCUCUUUUCCUCCUUUCUUUACAUUUCCAACUAGCAGGUUCUUAGAAAGUGAAACCCUGAGAACAUGGAGGUUUAAGUGAACCUUAAGACUUCGUGAUAGUAUGUGCGUAUUAUGUACAUCGUAUGAAUACUUUAAGAUAAUCUUUUUAAUAAAUAUAAUAGAUAAUAUAAAAGGGCACUGUGAACUAAUUACAAACGUUAGAGAAAUAUAAUAUAAUAUAAUAUAAUAAUAGCAGUAGUAGUGGUAAUAAUAGUAAUAAUAGUAAUAGUAAUAGUAAUAAUAAUUAUUAUAAUAAUUAGUAAUAAUAAAUAUGAUUGUAUCGAUAACAUGCCCUUUUUAAGGUAACCCAAGAAUAGGAGGAACGUGUAUACAUUAAAAUUGUUCGAAACUUAUUUAAGUCUGACUAAGCAUUUAGUACAACAGCAUUUUUUCCGUUUAUAUAAAAUUCGAAGAUAUUCCUAACAAACGGUUCACUAUCGAUAGAUCUGAGACGACGUAUCGGUCGAAGUGACCCUACUAAAUUUUGCGCAUAAUAUACAGACUGUACAGAAAAUACACGCAUUGGGUUCUGGGCAAAGAAUUUUCUCGGCAAAAAAAGAUUCUCGUUCCAAUGAGUUCAUUGGCAUCGUCUAGUGCGUAAUGGCAAAUCAAAUCGUAUAAAUUACAAGAUAAGUCGAACGGUAAAUCUAGAUUCUAGAUCAUGAAAUUUAAAUAAAACGCAAAACUCAUAGUUAAACGUUACGCUAACAUGGCAGCGUUCUUAUAAACAAAAACAAUUAUAAAUCGUAUAUCGAGAGCGAUCUAAACGGCUAUCACAUAUUAUAUUCCGCGAUGUAACAACAAAUUCACCAUGUCUCCGUUAAAAUUCGUAUCAUACAUUAAAUUUAAGACGCAAGAAAAAUUCAUUGUAAUAUCAAUUGCCUUUGUAACAACAAUUUAGUAUUACGAUUUUCUUGCAACUAUUAUAAUAUACAUUUAACAAAUAGACGGUUAGACAGAGUGUUAGCUAUAAAUUGGACAUCGAUCGACAUCGACAUUCAGGAUUUUUAAAUCGUUUUAAUAAGAAAUUCUCAGAUAAAACAUCUAUGCAAACACGGUCCCCAAACAGAAUUUCUACUAUUAUUCUUGUUUUGAUAUAAGCGCGCUUCAUUUCACAACGCACCUUUAAAAAACCUCUCAAUGUUGCUUUUAACAAGUAAAUGCUAAAAAAUUCGUAUUAAAAAGCGUUUGCAUCUACAACAGCGCUUUUGGACACGCCCUCAAAUUAUAUCAACAUUCGCAUACUUUCUUCGUGUAAAUACAUUUCGUUUUCCGGCCGAUAAGAUUACGUUGUUGAUAAAGCUAUGGCGAAAUGAAAGUUAAUGCAACCGUGUUGAUCUAUUGAUUCUCCGAUUAGUGAAAUCAAAAAUGUAUAUAUCUUACGACACUUCGACAAUAUCAACCUAAAUACUUAAUGGUUCGAAACAAGUGGUCGAUUCUCUAAAAAUUUCAAUUGUAAAUCACACUGUUCUCUUUCUCUUAUUCUCGUAUUAUACACGAAGGCUUUCGUGGAAGAGCGCGUUUUGAAUUUGCUUGAUAUCUUUGCACUAUAAUCUUUAAAAAAUCCUACCGUUGCUAAAACGAAGCACGUUUGAUUCUCGAGGUAAACUAGUUGUUCAUUCGCCCCUUUUAAAGGUUCAACUUCGUACGACUUUCCUAAAUUUUUUCAACGUUUCAUCGAAUUGGAAGUAUUUUUAAUCUAUGCAAUGAUCCCUGUUUAACAAUCCCUGUAAGAGAAUCUUUUUAGAAAGUGUCAGCCAACUAUAUCCAGACGCGAUUCAAUUGUAAUUGUUCUGAGACGGUGUAGGAGAUAAUCUUUGGUUACCCAAAAAUGCCUAUUAAAUACGAUCGUCGAUUACUUAGUUCCUGUAUGACGGAAGCCGUUGUAACACGUUAUAAUAUAUUUGUAGGUCUUUAAAUCUUACAUAUCAGUGACCGAUCGGCCGUUUAAAUUAUAUCGUCCAUAGUUUUGUGAUUUUUCGCAACAUUCAUAUCUUUUUUUUUUUUUAAGUUUCAUUAUACUUAGGUCUUCUUCCUUAAUAAAUCAGUUUUACAACUUUAACCCUCUCAUAUAAAGAUU